Molecule: transfer RNA, 69 nt
Filed under: Coscinasterias acutispina
Lineage: Eukaryota; Metazoa; Echinodermata; Asteroidea; Forcipulatida; Asteriidae
Description: tRNA-Arg
Source: RNAcentral
AAAAAGCUAGUUUAAGUAAAACUAUUGAUUUCGACUCAAUCCAUUUUGGUAAUACCCCAAAGCUUUUAU